This is a long non-coding RNA of Dermochelys coriacea (leatherback sea turtle), 209 nucleotides long. RefSeq lists it as uncharacterized. NCBI's taxonomy places the organism in Eukaryota, Metazoa, Chordata, Testudines, Dermochelyidae. The record is from RefSeq and is a predicted model, not a curated record. The transcript has 3 exons.
CGUGGAGGGUCAUGAGCGGUCAGCCUCCACUCCAAACCCUGCUUUGUCUCCAGCAUUUAUAAUGGUGUUAAAUAUAUAAACAAGUGUUUUUAAUUUAUAAGGGGGUGACACUCAGAGGCUUACUGUGUGAAAGGUGUCACCAGUACGAUAGAUUGAGAACCACUGAUCUAUGGGGUUACAGUGGACGAGAAGCUGGAUAUGAGUCACCA